This 1793-nucleotide ribosomal RNA is filed under the name Escherichia coli MP021552.8. RNAcentral describes it as "bacterial LSU rRNA". It matches the Rfam family "Bacterial large subunit ribosomal RNA", at positions 1152 to 2925 of the family's 2925-position model. The record is from RNAcentral. Lineage: Bacteria; Pseudomonadati; Pseudomonadota; Gammaproteobacteria; Enterobacterales; Enterobacteriaceae.
AGUCGGCCUGCGCGGAAGAUGUAACGGGGCUAAACCAUGCACCGAAGCUGCGGCAGCGACGCUUAUGCGUUGUUGGGUAGGGGAGCGUUCUGUAAGCCUGUGAAGGUGUGCUGUGAGGCAUGCUGGAGGUAUCAGAAGUGCGAACGCUGACAUAAGUAACGAUAAAGCGGGUGAAAAGCCCGCUCGCCGGAAGACCAAGGGUUCCUGUCCAACGUUAAUCGGGGCAGGGUGAGUCGACCCCUAAGGCGAGGCCGAAAGGCGUAGUCGAUGGGAAACAGGUUAAUAUUCCUGUACUUGGUGUUACUGCGAAGGGGGGACGGAGAAGGCUAUGUUGGCCGGGCGACGGUUGUCCCGGUUUAAGCGUGUAGGCUGGUUUUCCAGGCAAAUCCGGAAAAUCAAGGCUGAGGCGUGAUGACGAGGCACUACGGUGCUGAAGCAACAAAUGCCCUGCUUCCAGGAAAAGCCUCUAAGCAUCAGGUAACAUCAAAUCGUACCCCAAACCGACACAGGUGGUCAGGUAGAGAAUACCAAGGCGCUUGAGAGAACUCGGGUGAAGGAACUAGGCAAAAUGGUGCCGUAACUUCGGGAGAAGGCACGCUGAUAUGUAGGUGAAGUCCCUCGCGGAUGGAGCUGAAAUCAGUCGAAGAUACCAGCUGGCUGCAACUGUUUAUUAAAAACACAGCACUGUGCAAACACGAAAGUGGACGUAUACGGUGUGACGCCUGCCCGGUGCCGGAAGGUUAAUUGAUGGGGUCAGCGCAAGCGAAGCUCUUGAUCGAAGCCCCGGUAAACGGCGGCCGUAACUAUAACGGUCCUAAGGUAGCGAAAUUCCUUGUCGGGUAAGUUCCGACCUGCACGAAUGGCGUAAUGAUGGCCAGGCUGUCUCCACCCGAGACUCAGUGAAAUUGAACUCGCUGUGAAGAUGCAGUGUACCCGCGGCAAGACGGAAAGACCCCGUGAACCUUUACUAUAGCUUGACACUGAACAUUGAGCCUUGAUGUGUAGGAUAGGUGGGAGGCUUAGAAGUGUGGACGCCAGUCUGCAUGGAGCCGACCUUGAAAUACCACCCUUUAAUGUUUGAUGUUCUAACGUUGACCCGUAAUCCGGGUUGCGGACAGUGUCUGGUGGGUAGUUUGACUGGGGCGGUCUCCUCCUAAAGAGUAACGGAGGAGCACGAAGGUUGGCUAAUCCUGGUCGGACAUCAGGAGGUUAGUGCAAUGGCAUAAGCCAGCUUGACUGCGAGCGUGACGGCGCGAGCAGGUGCGAAAGCAGGUCAUAGUGAUCCGGUGGUUCUGAAUGGAAGGGCCAUCGCUCAACGGAUAAAAGGUACUCCGGGGAUAACAGGCUGAUACCGCCCAAGAGUUCAUAUCGACGGCGGUGUUUGGCACCUCGAUGUCGGCUCAUCACAUCCUGGGGCUGAAGUAGGUCCCAAGGGUAUGGCUGUUCGCCAUUUAAAGUGGUACGCGAGCUGGGUUUAGAACGUCGUGAGACAGUUCGGUCCCUAUCUGCCGUGGGCGCUGGAGAACUGAGGGGGGCUGCUCCUAGUACGAGAGGACCGGAGUGGACGCAUCACUGGUGUUCGGGUUGUCAUGCCAAUGGCACUGCCCGGUAGCUAAAUGCGGAAGAGAUAAGUGCUGAAAGCAUCUAAGCACGAAACUUGCCCCGAGAUGAGUUCUCCCUGACUCCUUGAGAGUCCUGAAGGAACGUUGAAGACGACGACGUUGAUAGGCCGGGUGUGUAAGCGCAGCGAUGCGUUGAGCUAACCGGUACUAAUGAACCGUGAGGCUUAACCU